UACGUAGGGUGCGAGCGUUAAUCGGAAUUACUGGGCGUAAAGCGUGCGCAGGCGGUUAUAUAAGACAGUUGUGAAAUCCCCGGGCUCAACCUGGGAAUUGCAUCUGUGACUGUAUAGCUAGAGUACGGUAGAGGGGGAUGGGAAUUCCGCGUGUAGCAGUGAAAUGGCGUAGAUAUGCGGAGGAACACCGAUGGCGAAGGCAAUCCCCUGGACCUGUACUGACGCUCAUGCACGAAAGCGUGGGGAGCAAACAGG
Molecule: ribosomal RNA, 255 nt
Filed under: uncultured bacterium
Lineage: Bacteria
Description: partial 16S ribosomal RNA
Rfam family: Bacterial small subunit ribosomal RNA
Source: RNAcentral